This 555-nucleotide ribosomal RNA is filed under the name uncultured haloarchaeon. Its description in RNAcentral is "bacterial SSU rRNA". It matches the Rfam family "Archaeal small subunit ribosomal RNA", at positions 1 to 553 of the family's 1478-position model. Lineage: Archaea; Methanobacteriati; Methanobacteriota; Halobacteria; Halobacteriales; Halobacteriaceae. The record is from RNAcentral.
CCCUUUUCCGGUUGAUCCUGCCGGAGGCCAUUGCUAUCGGAGUCCGAUUUAGCCAUGCUAGUUGUGCGGGUUUAGACCCGCAGCGGAAAGCUCAGUAACACGUGGCCAAGCUACCCUGUGGACGGGAAUACUCUCGGGAAACUGAGGCUAAUCCCCGAUAAAGCUUUGCUCCUGGAAGGGGCAAAGCCGGAAACGCUCCGGCGCCACAGGAUGCGGCUGCGGUCGAUUAGGUAGACGGUGGGGUAACGGCCCACCGUGCCCAUAAUCGGUACGGGUUGUGAGAGCAAGAGCCCGGAGACGGAAUCUGAGACAAGAUUCCGGGCCCUACGGGGCGCAGCAGGCGCGAAACCUUUACACUGUACGAAAGUGCGAUAAGGGGACUCCGAGUGUGAAGGCAUAGAGCCUUCACUUUUGUACACCGUAAGGUGGUGCACGAAUAAGGACUGGGCAAGACCGGUGCCAGCCGCCGCGGUAAUACCGGCAGUCCGAGUGAUGGCCGAUCUUAUUGGGCCUAAAGCGUCCGUAGCUGGCUGAACAAGUCCGUUGGGAAAUCUG